CUACCUACGGGGCGCAGCAGUGGGGAAUAUUGGGCAAUGGAGGAAACUCUGACCCAGUAAUGCCGCGUGAAUGAAGAAGGUCUUCGGAUUGUAAAGUUCUUUAGUCAGGGAAGAAGUCAAUGACGGUACCUGAGUAAGAAGCCCCGGCUAACUACGUGCCAGCAGCCGCGGUAAUACGUAGGGGGCAAGCGUUAUCCGGAAUUACUGGGUGUAAAGGGAGCGUAGACGGUAAUGCGAGUCUGGAGUGAAAGGCGGGGGCCCACCCCCCGGACUGCUCUGGAAACUGUGUAACUGGAGUGCAGGAG
Molecule: ribosomal RNA, 305 nt
Filed under: uncultured bacterium
Lineage: Bacteria
Description: bacterial SSU rRNA
Rfam family: Bacterial small subunit ribosomal RNA
Source: RNAcentral